GUGGGGAAUCUUGCGCAAUGGGCGAAAGCCUGACGCAGCCAUGCCGCGUGAAUGAUGAAGGUCUUAGGAUUGUAAAAUUCUUUCACCGGGGACGAUAAUGACGGUACCCGGAGAAGAAGCCCCGGCUAACUUCGUGCCAGCAGCCGCGGUAAUACGAAGGGGGCUAGCGUUGCUCGGAAUUACUGGGCGUAAAGGGCGCGUAGGCGGACAGUUUAGUAAGAGGUGAAUGCCCAGGGCUCAACCUUGGAAUUGCCUUUGAUACUGGCUGUCUUGAGUACGUGAGAGGGGAGUGGAACUCCGAGUGUAGAGGUGAAAUUCGUAGAUAUUCGGAAGAACAACAGUGGCGAAGGCGACUCACUGGCCCGUUACUGACGCUGAGGCGCGAAAGCGUGGGGAGCAAACAGGAUUAGAAACCCGGGUAGUCC
RNAcentral lists this ribosomal RNA (425 nucleotides) under uncultured bacterium. RNAcentral describes it as "partial 16S ribosomal RNA". It matches the Rfam family "Bacterial small subunit ribosomal RNA", at positions 354 to 796 of the family's 1533-position model. The record is from RNAcentral.